This 303-nucleotide unclassified non-coding RNA is filed under the name Hevea brasiliensis (rubber tree). Lineage: Eukaryota; Viridiplantae; Streptophyta; Magnoliopsida; Malpighiales; Euphorbiaceae. The record is from RNAcentral.
ACAAAUUAUAAAAGUUAAUUGUAUCCUACCAUUUCUUAUUGAAGACUGAAAUACAAUAUAUUAUUGUACUUAUUUUUCUUUCUCUUUAUCCCAUAGAAAGCUCGUAACCAAUCAAAUCUACAACUGUGACCUAAAGAAACUUAAAAGAAACCUAUAUUUAAGUUAAAGAAAUUAUCUUUUGUAAAAUAAACAUACCCAAGCCAAAGAGUUGUAUCUGACCCAUACGAUUUGAUUCAAAAAACAUACAAUACACGACCCUUUUACGAGAAUCAGAAACAGUCCAAUAAAUGUAGCAAACCAAAA